CGAAAGUUACGCUAAUACCGCAUACGUCCUGAGGGAGAAAGGCGGGGGAUCGCAAGACCUCGCGCGAUUGGAGUGGCCGAUGUCAGAUUAGCUAGUUGGUAGGGGUAAACGGCCCACCAAGGCGACGAUCUGUAGCGGGUCUGAGAGGAUGAUCCGCCACACGUGGGACUGAGACACCGGCCCAGACUCCGUACGGGAGGCAGCAGGUGGGUAAUUUGGACAUGGGGGAAACCCUGAUCCAGCCAUGCCGCGUGCGGGAAGAAGGCCUUCGGGUUGUAAACCGCUUUCAGCCGGAAAGAAAUCGCACGGACCAAUACUCUGUGUGGAUGACGGUACCGGAAGAAGAAGCACCGGCUAACUACGUG
Molecule: ribosomal RNA, 365 nt
Filed under: uncultured bacterium
Lineage: Bacteria
Description: bacterial SSU rRNA
Rfam family: Bacterial small subunit ribosomal RNA
Source: RNAcentral